GUUGCGAUCCCUCCAAGGAUGAUCAGCGAC
Molecule: non-coding RNA, 30 nt
Organism: Marinactinospora thermotolerans DSM 45154
Lineage: Bacteria; Bacillati; Actinomycetota; Actinomycetes; Streptosporangiales; Nocardiopsidaceae
Source: Rfam